UGGGGAAUCUUGGACAAUGGGGGCAACCCUGAUCCAGCCAUGCCGCGUGAGUGAUGAAGGCCUUAGGGUCGUAAAGCUCUUUCGCCUGUGAAGAUAAUGACGGUAGCAGGUAAAGAAACCCCGGCUAACUCCGUGCCAGCAGCCGCGGUAAUACGGAGGGGACUAGCGUUGUUCGGAAUUACUGGGCGUAAAGAGUUCGUAGGCGGACUAGCAAGUUAGAGGUGAAAUCCCAGGGCUCAACCUUGGAACUGCCUCCAAAACUAUUGGUCUAGAGUUCGAGAGAGGUGAGUGGAAUUCCAAGUGUAGAGGUGAAAUUCGUAGAUAUUUGGAGGAACACCAGUGGCGAAGGCGGCUCACUGGCUCGAUACUGACGCUGAGGUGCGAAAGUGUGGGGAGCAAACAGGAUUAGAUACCCUGGUAGUCCACACCGUAAACGAUGAAUGCCAGUCGUCGGGUAGCAUGCUAUUCGGUGACACACCUAACGGAUUAAGCAUUCCGCCUGGGGAGUACGGUCGC
This 516-nucleotide ribosomal RNA is filed under the name uncultured bacterium. RNAcentral describes it as "bacterial SSU rRNA". It matches the Rfam family "Bacterial small subunit ribosomal RNA", at positions 355 to 889 of the family's 1533-position model. The record is from RNAcentral.